RNAcentral lists this ribosomal RNA (1038 nucleotides) under Triticum aestivum (bread wheat). RNAcentral describes it as "partial small subunit ribosomal RNA". The record is from RNAcentral. Lineage: Eukaryota; Viridiplantae; Streptophyta; Magnoliopsida; Poales; Poaceae.
AUGAACACAAGAUGCAUCGGCUCCACCAAUGACUGGAUCGUGCUCGACCGCAUGGACGGCGUUACGCAAAAGCAUACAUACGCAUUGCACAACCACUUCCUCGAUGUCGCAGUGCUGUUGCCGGAGCUGAACUCCAUAAUCGGGAAUGUUCCUGAGAAGUUUGAGAUCCGGAAGGUUCUCAUGCGGUCGACACCCGACGAUCUCGUUGCGGUCACAAGCAACAUCUGCAGGUACCCUUUCAUUUUGUGCCGACCUGGUAAGGGAGCGUGGGUGGCGGGGCCAUUAGCUAUGCCGUACUUUCGUAUCAUCGAUUUUGCGUUCCUCGGAGACAUGCUCUACGUGAUCACCAAGGCCGAGAGCCUCUACGCCAUCCACCUCACCGAAGACGAUGAUGGCAAGCCCGAUGUCUCCUUUGUCGAACGGAUCACCAGGCACACCCCUUACCCUAAUGGUGAUAGGUACAAUAAUGACAUGUGGAUGGGUACAAGUGACAACGAUGCGUCAAGCAGUGAGGAUGAAGAUGACAACUAUGAUGCGUUGAGUCAAGAAGAAGCCCCCGAUGAAUUGGUCGGUGAUGCUAGUGACAUUGACGAUGACAAUGACCGCUCCUCUGCCUACAAUUGUACGUUGUCUGAUUGUGAAGAGGUCGUGAACUCCAAAGGAUGCAACUUACUCACGACUUACAGACACCUCGUUGAGUCCCACGGUAAGUUGCUCAUGGUUAAGCGGCAAUGCUUACUCACGGCUUUCACUCCAAACCACCACACUCGCAAGGUCGAAGUCUUUGAGGCGGACGUGGACAAAGGCACAUGGGUACCAGUGACACGUGGGCUAGGUGGCGGUCAUGCGAUAUUCAUCAGUCAUGGCUUCAACAAUAUAGUUGCUGCCUGUGGGGAAGUGAAAGAGGAUGACAUAUAUUUUCCCGACACGAACGAUGUGUUUGAGAUGCAAACCGGGAUUAUUAGAACUUUAGGACCCAUAAGUCGGUUAGACGCCUGUUGGAGGACGUGUGUCUUUCCACCGGACCUAGUUGUUUAA